AGGAGAAGGCGGAUGGCUGACGGUAGGCGGGCUUCCAUGCCCGCCGGCUGAGGAAAGUCCCCUCUCCAUGAGAAAGUGGGCUGCCAGAGCAGCAGGGCGAGAGUCCUGGCAAGGGCGCAGAAACGACACAGCCGCGGGAUAACGUCAUGAUUCCCUCGGGGAUGAAGUCUCCCGCGGAUUUGGUGAAACGGCGACUCCCCACUGGAGCAAGCUCAAACGGCCGGAUCGAUCUCUCAUCGUCGGCGGGUAGAGUGCAAUAGUCGAAUGCCAUCACCGUCGCAAGACGGGAACAGAAAGGGGCUUAUGUCCUUCACCU
RNAcentral lists this RNase P RNA (316 nucleotides) under Euryarchaeota archaeon RBG_16_62_10. RNAcentral describes it as "RNase P RNA component". It matches the Rfam family "Archaeal RNase P". From Rfam's summary of the family: Ribonuclease P (RNase P) is a ubiquitous endoribonuclease, found in archaea, bacteria and eukarya as well as chloroplasts and mitochondria. Lineage: Archaea; Methanobacteriati; Methanobacteriota. The record is from RNAcentral.